RNAcentral lists this unclassified non-coding RNA (347 nucleotides) under uncultured fungus. RNAcentral's name for it is "partial internal transcribed spacer 1". The record is from RNAcentral. Lineage: Eukaryota; Fungi.
GCCCUAAAGAGACAUGGCCCAAUUCAUGGCCCAGUACGCCUUCAAUUUCAUUAUCGGUCAUCAGAUCCAUCAGGCCGGAGUAUACGCGAACGCAACCGUUCGCCAUCGCCCAUGCGUUGAUAUCGCUGGUCAUAUAGACUUUAUAGCUAACCGGCGUACCGUCAAUGUUGUUACCCAGCGCUUUGGCGAUUUUGCUCAGACGUUUGGUGUAUUUGCUUUUCGAACCUGCCAGUUGAUUCUCGCUGUCCAUUUGUUUACAGGCAUUAUUAGAUAAUGCCUUAACAUCCGCAUCGGACAGUGUGGCGGCUUUGUAGGCUGACAUGCCGGAGCUGGCGAUUAAAUUGCCA